This is a long non-coding RNA of Mus musculus (house mouse), 9742 nucleotides long. RefSeq annotates it as predicted gene, 34801. Lineage: Eukaryota; Metazoa; Chordata; Mammalia; Rodentia; Muridae. The record is from RefSeq and is a predicted model, not a curated record. The transcript is spliced from 6 exons.
AUGUGCCACUUUACCGGCUUUUGAUUUUGAAACGUACAGAGAUGGCAUACUCUGUACAUUAGACAUGAAAGAAAACAGGAAAGCAAGCAGUCACUGGGUGUCACCUCUCCUCUCACCUCACUUGCCCUGGGUACCAGGCUCUCCCCUGAUCUGGGGACCAAGAUCAGUGAGGUGAAAGACAGGAAGUUAAGUAGCUGUUUUGAGAUCCCAGAGGGCAGCCCUCUCAUUGGGAACCUGCAGGAGUGGUUCUCGGACUCAUUCAGAGAUAGACCCUUAAGGCUUGGUGAUGCUUUGGGUUCAGUGUGCUAAAGCAAGAGUUUUGGUACUCGGUUGGCAGGGUAUGAGGGGCGCUGCAGUAUUCGUAGAAACCUGAUUUGCAGACUCCUCAUGCCAGCCAAGGAGGUGGGCUCAAGCCUGCAGACAGAGAACCACUGAGGGAUGUCAGGCAGGGGCAUGGCGUGUCAGGGCUUGUGCUUAGGAAGUGAACUGCCGGCUAGAUUCAAUAUAGACAGAGACCGGGGACCAAGGGAUGAAUUAAAAUACUUGUGGCUCUUGUCCAGCAAGGAAAAGAUGCUGAAUGGAUCCAGUAGAAAGGGUAAGAGAGACUAUGUGAGCAGCUUUCUGUUUUAGAAGGUGACGUGGGCAGGAUCCUAAUGGAGACAUCCCACAGGCUGGUGGCUCUGCCUGAAGUCCUGAGAAGAGACCUAUCUAAAGUCAUCCGUUGGGAAAUCUUUGGCUUGGCCAUAGAAGUAGAAACUGGUUUGGAAAAGAAUAUUGGGGGUGGGGGUGUCACUCUUAGUACUGAGGGAAAGGAGGAAGUUACCUGUGUCUGGUCCCUAAAAAACCACAAAUGGGGCAGUGGGACGGGACCAAGGAGCCCAAGAUGGAGUAUUAACGUAGUGAUAAUGUCUCCCCCUGAUAAGACAAGCUCCAGGACUAAGAGGAAUCUACUGAAUUCAGUGACAAGGAGCUGGUGUGGAUCAGAGGAGUGCCAUUCUGGAGGGGUAAGGGGUCAAUGAAAGAUACAGGAGUUUUCAUAAGCUGGGACUUGAGGAGGGCGGGUGAGGCUGCAGCAGCAUUGCCUCUGACUAUGAAAACUCCCCAGCCAUCCAUUGCUCUGUGUGUGCGUGUGCGUGUGCGUGUGUGUGUGUGUGUGUGUGUUUACUGGUCGUGUUUGUGUGCAUGUGACACUGAAUAUUUGGAGGUAAGUCAGCAGCUUUCAGGAACUGAUUCUCUUUCUCCACCAUGAGUUCUAGGGAUAGAGCUUGAGUAAUCAAACUCAGGCAACAAGGGAUUUACUCCCUUCACUGGCCUGCAUUGCUUCUGGACACCAGUGUUUAGAUACACUGAAAGUUAUUUAUCCGUUAAGAUGGGAUUUAUAGAAACAACCCCAAAAGUCUUAGUAGGCACAUGUGUAAAUUCAAGUGCAUACAUAUGCGCCUGCUAAAAGCCCAAGACUAAUGUCAGAUGUCUCCAUUGUUGCUCUUCACCCUGCAUUUUGAGGCAGGGUCGCUCACUGAGUCCCUCCCAAGCUUGCCCUUCCUGCUAAUUUGGAUAGCCAUCUUGCUCCAGGAUUCCCUGUCCUCCUGAUCCUGUUGCCUGGGACUGCAGGUAGUCUCCUCACCCACAUGGCACUGGCGUGGCUUCUCUAUAUCUAGAUAGCAAACGCUCUACCCACUGAGCCAUCUCUCCAGCCACCAUUUCUGUAAGUUUGGGAUGCUGUCACACUGCCUCUCAGGAGGGGCGCGUGGAGUCAUGGCGUCAUGUGUACUGCCUGUGGUCAGUCCCACCACUUUCCAGCCAACACUGGAUUUUGCCUCAUUAAAUUAUUUUCCCCAACAUAACUAGCAAACGUUGGCUUCUAGUGUAGAAUUAUAAAUUUUUGUUACCAACAGGCAUGUCUUAUUUUUAGGUUCUGGCCAGUCAGAUCAGGGAUCUUCUAUUGGACUGAAGGUUUUAGCACUGAAAGGAAAAUAACUUGUCAUUCCAUCUGAGCAUGGCUGUGGGGCUGACUGCUCUGGCCCUUGCCUGGGAUGUUUAAUUAAUCUCUCUGGAUCUGUGUUUUAAUUAAGAAUCUGCUGUGGUUCUUUCCCAUGAUUUCCUACUGAUUCCGGGCUCAUGGGUUCUCUUCUCUAUUUGUUUCUCCCAGCCUGCAUCUGGCUCCAGGUGAACACUGGAAGAUGAUUGGCUAAAAUACACUCAGCGUGCUGCUUUUGUUGUUCUGGCUCUGUUCAUUUUGAGACAGUGUCUCAGUGUAACCCAGACUGGCAUCAAACUCACCAUGUAGCUGAGGACGACCCUAGACUUCCGUUCCUUCUGCCUCUGCCUUAGAGUGCUGGGACUACAGAUUCGAGCCACCAAGCAAGCUUUUGUGGGGACUUUUCAUUUAUCUGUUUGUGUUUUACAUGUAGCCCAGGCUGGCCAAAAACUAAUUUUCUGCCUCAGUCCCCUGUGUAUUGGGAUUUUAGGUAUGAGCCUGUCCACUAAGUUUUGACUGAAACGCCUUUGCUAUGACUAGAAAGACACUGCCUACAGAACUUAGGUUGGAAGGCACUGUGCCCAUUAACUGGUUUUAAAAUAUAAAACCAGUUGUGGUGACUCAGGUCUGCAAUCCCAGUAUGCAGGAGGCCGAGACAAGAUUGCCACAAGUUUGAGAGACAUAGGCAAGACUCUCAAAAGAACAGACCAAGACAAACAAAACCCAAACACUUGAGAACACUGAGGCAGGAGGAUCAGGAAUUUGAGAUCGGCCUCUGCUGUGUAACCAGAUGUUAUAUAAAAAGGAAAAAUCAGAAGAAAAGGAGAGAGAAGAGGGGCUUACAGAAAUAAGUAAGCUGGACAGAGCACAGACCUGCAGUCCCAGGCCUCAGGAGGCAGAGGCAUGAGGCGUGCACGUGUGAUGAGGCUGACAUCAGCCUUUGUAAAACUCAAAAGACAUUCUGAUAAUUCUAAGGAAGAAAGUCUGCAGCCCCUGCAGCCCCUGCAGCCCCUGCCUCCACGGCUUCCCUGUGUUCCGCCAACUCCUCCUUCAGGCCUCGGUGUAAAUGCUUCCUCCCCCGGGGACCACUGUCAUUGGAUGCCCCCACCACCACUGGUCACCCUUUAUAGUUCAGGCAUGAUAACAGGUCCAUGUUUCACCAGAACAAUGACCUUAUGUUCUGAUAAUUACUGUAUUCCUCACAUACAACCCAGAGGCCAGCAGGUCGUGGAACUCAAUACAUGUUGACUCUCAUGUAAACCUAUACAAUUAUUUUUAGCAUUUUGGUCUGUUUCCUCCUGGGCCUUUUCUGAGUCUAUGUGUGGAGGUAUUUUUCUUAGAGUAAGGUGAGUUUUGUACUUGUGUUUUCUUUUCUGUUCUUGUUAAGUCAGCCUGUGUGAGCAAUGGUAUGAGCAGUGGUGUGAGCAAGCAAUGGUGGGAGCAGUGGUGGGAACAAUGGUGGGAGCAGUGAUGGGAGCAGGCAAUGGUAGGGGCAGUGGUGAAAGCAAGCAGUGGUGGGAGUGAGCAAUGGUGGGAGCUAGCAGUGGUGGGAGCAGUGGUGUGAAUGAGCAAUGGUGGGAGCAAUGGUGUGAAUGAGCAAUGGUGGGUCUAGGUUAAGAAGGCAGAGUGGGACCGGAAGACGAAAGAAUGCACCAAGUCAGUUUUUCAAAAGUUGUCAGUGGCCAAGUGUCUUAGUGCUCUGUUACUGUGAAGAAAUCCUAUUAUCGUGGCAACUCUUAUAAAGAAAAUCAUUUAAUUGGGCUAGCUUACAACUUCAGAGAUUUAAUUUAUUAUGGUGGGGAGCACAGCAACAUGCAGGCCGACGUGGUGCUGGAAAAGCAAGUAGCUGAGAGUUCUAUAUCCAGACCCAGCAGUAGGAAGAGAGGAAUUCUGGGUUAAGAAAGGGCUUUUGAAACCUGAAAACCUACCCCCAGAGACAGGCUUCCUCCAACAAGGCCACACCUCCUAAUCUUUUCGAAUAGCGCUGUUCCCUAAACAUUUACAUAUGUGGGCCUACUAUAGGUUUCAUUCAAACCAUCACACCAAGAGAAAUGGGUCACUUAGUAAAACACUUGCUUUGCAAACUUGAGGACCAGGGUUUGACCCCCACAACUCACAUAAAAAGUUAGAUGCUUGUAAUCUCAGCCGUGAUGAGAUGGAACAUGGAGAUACAAGAAUCCCUGGAGUUCUCUGACCAAAUAGCCUACUCUAUUCCAGGCAAUGAAGGCACUCUGCCUCAAACAAAAAAGUGCAAAAUCUUCCGGAGGAAAGGCACUCAAGGUUUUCCUCUGAUUACAUGCAAGGGUGAGAGGCCCCACCCCCACCCCCCCCACACACACUUUUUUUUUUUGGUUUGUGUGGCGCUGUAAAUAAACCCAGAGCCCUGUGCGUGUCAGACAGCUCCGUAGCCACUGGACUACAUUCCCACCUAUUAACCCUCUAUUUGCAAAUAGCUUGAGGUGGUAAAUCAGCCUUCCCAAGGGUCUUCAUCUAGCCUAGGGCUUCUAACACUGGGUCCUCAUUUACAUAGCUCAGGCUAGCUCUGGAAUCCCUGGCCUGCUGAGGGGUGCCGGCUUUAAGAAGCAGUUCUGGGAUUUAAUCCAUGUACACAAAGCAUCGUUCACUUCCUCUCUGCUGUUUGCCAGCUUUGUUCUGUUGAACAUAAAAUCAAUGGGUGCUCCCACUUUUUAAUCAGAGGGGUGAAAGUUCACAUAUCGAUUACUGAGGGCAAAGGCCAAACAUUCCAUCCCCAAUGAAGCAAAUCUUACAUUCAAGCGUCCGUCACCGUAGGUCUGGCCUUUUGCAAGGAUAUUAAGAAACCCUCUUGAAUUCCUAUCUGACCUCCUGGGAAAUAGCAGCACACGAGGAGAAAUUCCAGGGGCCUAUCAGGAACAACGACACACAGUAGGAACUGCCAAAACCAAGAGCAGUCACGCAGAGGGGCAUUGCACUGAAAGGGGUGCAGUUGAUUGAUUGUAUCCUCAAACCUGUUUACACUCACGGAGUGGGAGUCUGUGAUGCGCCUCGGCUCUGCUUUGAGAGGAGUUAUUUCUGUUAUUAGAAAUCAGCCAUACUGUGUGAUCCAUAGGACAGGGAGAGCAUGCAUGAGUCUCGUUUAAUCACAUGCAGUUUCCUGGGAGGUGGUUUGAAUUUUUAAAGAACUGCUCUUCAUUGAUAGAGAUUCUGCGGCUGGCUGAUUACCAAUGGAGCCGCCCCGAGCUUUGCCUAAUGAUUUUAAAACGCACAUUUGCAUGUGUACUUACAAACGGCUGAGAUGGUGAAGUGUAUAAUAUGUGUUUUAACUAUAAUUUUAAAACCCCACACAUUCGCGGUGAUUCAUGAUUGUGCCUCUCCAGAUGAAAGGGAAGCAUUUAUUAAAACUCUCUUCAUUAGAUUUUAAAACUGAAUAAAAUUGUUGCGUUGAUUUAAAUCAUAAAGGAAUCUAUAAAAUUUAGAGUAAACAUUUUAUUUCAAACCUACCCCAGCAGGCACCCACUGCUACUAUUUUGUUGGGUAAUAGUUUUGGCUCUUUUUUAAUUAUUCUUUUCUUUAUGACAAGGUCUAGUGUCACUCAGGAUGACCUUGAGUUUGUUGGGUAGCCAAGGAUGACCUUGAAUUGUGAGUCUCCUGCUUCCCUCUCCCAGGUGCUGGGAGCCGCAACACCUGGCUUAUGCAGUGUUGGGAACCAGACCAGAGCUUCCAGCUUGCCGGACGGUCUACCAACAGAGCUCUCAGAGCCCGAGAUCUCAGACCUUUGUUAAUAAUAGCAUGCAUGUGAACACUUGUAGGUUAAAAAAAGAAGAAGAAAGAGACCACAAAACAGAGGUUGAAACGCCAAAGCGACCCAAGAGACGGGAUGAGCAAUGCACACACAGAAAAUGGAGUGUUACUCAGCUUUAAAAUAGAACGUAAUUCCAAUAUGUGCGACAAGGUAGAUAAGCUUCAAAACAUUAUGCUCAGUCAGUUAAGCUAUGUGUAAAAAAGACAAAGGCUGCAGGCUUCUGCUUACAUGGAGGAGGACAGAAUGACUGUACAGGGAGUAGACAUUGGCUUGAUGAGAACGCCUUGGGAGUGAGUUGUGCUGUGCAAUACUGAGAACGCACUGAUUUGUUUCUUCACCAAGGUACCUCAGUGUGCAGGAACUUACGGUGCGAGCCCGAAGACAUGCGUUCCGACUCCAAAACCCACAUCAAGGUGAAGAGAACCAACUCUGCUAGGUUGUCCUCUGAUCUCACCUGCACACUGUGGCAUGCAUGCCUCCCAUGCAACACACACACACACACACAUCGAUGAUCAGUUAGUCCAUAGAGAUGAACUCUCCCAGGUCGACUGACCAUAAACCUACUGCCUUAGUUUCUCUGGAUUUUAAAAGCUAUUCGGAAACAACUUUUGGUAAAACAAAACACGUUUAUUUAGUUUGCCAGCCUGUAGAGGACGGCUCCUGCUUUCUCUCUGACUCGCCUGCAACAUUGUGAUGGUUUUACAGAAAAGGUGACAGAAGCCAGGAGCUGGGCAUGCGUUACUGUAAUGGGGACAAGCUGUCAGGGCUGUGUCCCAUCUGUUCUUGUGAAGCUCAUUCAUCCUCUGGCUGUCCCUGGAACCAGGGCUAAUUAGUCCCUGUCUUUCCCCCAGCAUAGAUGCCUGGAGCAGUAGUGAUUCUUAGGAUCCAUUGUAUCAGCCCCCUCCCCCUUGAAUAUUCUGGUAGCAAGGGGGAGGGACAUAGUAUUCCCCAUUAGAAUAGCUCAUCAGGACCUAAGCAGAGGUUCAUGGUUAUAGCAAACUGCUUCCCCAGCAUAUGAGGAGGGCCUGGGCUUGGUCCACAGCACUAAGAAAUAGUAGAGACACCUACUGGACUUGUUGUUGUUGUUGUUAAAAAUCUGGCUAGUUACUGUUUAUAAGAAACAUCCCAGGGCUGGCGAGAUGGCUCAGUGGGUAAGAGCACUGACUGCUCUUCCAAAGGUCCUGAGUUCAAAUCCCAGCAACCACAUGGUGGCUCACAACCAUCCGUAAUGAGAUCUGACGCCCUCUUCUGGUGUGUCUGAAGACAGCUACAGUGUACUUACAUAUAAUAAAUAAAUAAAUCUUAAAAAAAAAAAAAAAAGAAACAUCCCAGGGCAGGAAUGUUUAAAUGUAAGAUUAGAAAGAAAGAAAGAAAGAAAGAAAGAAAGAAAGAAAGAAAGAAAGAAAGAAAGAAAGAAAGAAACUCCAGGUCAUACCAUGAAUGAGAAUUGUGUGCCUGGCGCCAGGUAUGGUGAAACUCUAUUAGAAUCUGAACCCUGUAGACCCAUUGUUUUUUUUUUUUUGUUUUGUUUUGUUUUGUUUAAAAAAAAAAAAAAAGCUACAUAUACCGGAAGGAACCAGGUCUGAUGCUGCCUGACACCAGAGGCACCACACACAAGAAGCCAUACUCUAAAAAAACCUGUCCCUUUUGAGUUUCCUCAGCCUCAAGAGCAUCUGGAAGACAAGGUCAUUCCACCUGCACCUUCAAAAUUCUCUUCAGACAAUCAAAAGGAUGCCAGAACUUCUUAGAUGCAGAACCUGAAGAGUCUCACGUCUGAGCUCAACAGAUAAAAUAGUGAGGUUGGCUGUGUACUGUAGGACUGACGGCCCCAGGGGGAGCCUGCCUGAUGGUCAGAGAGAUGCUUUCCUGUGCUUUCCAGAAUGGCAGCAGGUCAGACCGACUCCUUCGAGUUGAGAGAUUGCAGCCACUUCCUAUCCAGGGAAUCCAGCCCCUCCUCCCCUUCCCAGGCGGUCGGUAGACUCUUCAUGGAAAGAUCCAUGCUCCCUGAUUACAGGAAACAGUUAUAGGAUAAUGGAGCAGCAUCCCCCAGCUCUCCAAAACGGUUCCAGGGACCAGUGUCAGGCUCAGAGAUCGGAACAUGGUGGAAAAUGAGACCUAAAAUGAGACCCAAGGGCUACAAAAUUAGCAUAUGAGAAAAACCUAGUAAAGAGGGAAGCUGGAACUGCCUUCUCUUGCAUCUGGCUGGAGCCACUGGCACAGCUGCAGAGGCACUCCAGAGUGUCUGCGGGUGACCUGCCACAUGGCCUGCAGGAGAAAGGCAGUGCUAGGCACGUGACCUCAGAGGCUUCCGUAUGGGACAUAAGUAACCCUGUCCUUUGCCGAGUGCUAGUGCCAAGCUUCCGAACAUUUCUCUGUUUGGGGUGCUUCCUCCCUGGGAGCUAUCUUCUUUCUUAAUAUAUUCUUCAACCUUAUUUUCUUCUGUUCACGUGUCUCUGUCCAAUUCCCUGUUGCAGAUACAGAAACCCAGACCCCUAGUGGGCACCCACGGAAACGCAGCAUCCGUAGGAUCAGCACUGGUCAACAGCCAAGAUAUCCCUGCUUCCGGUUGAGAACGCCAAUCCUGUGUCGAGGCUGGACCCUGGCAGAGACUAUAGAGACACACACUGAUGACGAUUAACUCCGUGGGGAAUGCAGAGGCUCACUUCUUUAUUUUUAAACUGCAGGUGAAGCUUUAGGGUAACAGUGGGUGUGAGCAUGCGUCGGUUGAACGCCUCUCAGAUCCAGCCCAUCAAUUUACCAACUCAUCAGAUUACUCAUGCGUGCAUUCCCUGACCAAGUGAUGUCAUCUCUGAGACUUUACUCUUCCCGCACACGUGAACAACUGAAAUACGCUAAGCUUAUCUUCUAUGUCUGUGGACACUCCAGUAGCCAUCCAAACACAAUCAGGUUUAAUUAAAUGGUGACGGUGAAUGUAUGCAGUAACCAUCCAGACCUGGAGGUCCACCCACCAACGGCCAGUCCUCAUGUGAGCCAUGGGUGGUCAGAUAAUCCAUAGUGCCUAUCUCUCACCAUUAAUCCUGAGCCCCAGGCAGUGUGGCAUUGAUGCUGGUGACAGCAUCGGCCAGUGAGAAAGAAGAGGAGGACACAGGGACAGCUGCUGUCCUGUCCAGUAGCACAUUUGCAGAGGCCAAGGGACGACUAGUGAGAAUUGGUUCUCUCUACUCAUAAGAUUCUGGGGCUCCAAGCCAAAUCGUCAGGGAUGGUGGCCCAUGCCUUUCCGGAUGAAUCAUCUCUCCAGCCAGUGAUGGUGAACUUGAUGGUUGACCUUGAUGGUCAACUUGAUUGCAUCUGGAACCAUCUAAUAGACAGACAUGCCUCAGGGCAGGUUGUUUGUUCUGAGAAGACUUAACAGAAGUCUGCACCUUGGGCCAGUGGAUCUCCUGGAAUCCUCCAGCCCUUCAGCACCAGAUUGGACCUACUAAGGCAUCCAGCCCUGUGAACUGAGCAGCUGCUGCCUUCCCAGCCUCUGCGUGGCGAAAGCCAAGCGUGGUUGGCCCACUCCGUCCGUCUAGGAAGCCACUCUGAUCAGUUUUCUUGUGUAGUAUGUAUUCUUUCAAUUGGUUCUGUUCCUCUAGUGAGCUCUACGGAAAUGUGGUCAGCCACGGGGAAGAGGAAGAAGCAAGAAAAACCUCCAUCCGUAAGCAACGAGGUGGCCACCCAGCCAUGGUGUAGGUAGAGAUCUGAUGGAAAGGGUUAUGAAAAUUAAGACUAGACGAAUACCGGUCAAAUACAUUGAACCAGUAGUCAACACUGCCCCCACCCCCAUGUAUAGACGGGGGAGUAGGUUGUGUCACGGGCAAAUUAUCCAAGAAAAAGAUAAUUCUUUUAUAGUGCAAAUUGUCCCAGAGAAAAGGAAAACACUGGGCUGGGAGCAGCCAAAGAAAAGGAGUGUCCGAUGUUUUUCUUUGUGCAAAAUAAAUAAAUAAAGUUAUAAUAAGUUAUAACAUUAGUAUAUUAAAUCU